Molecule: non-coding RNA, 21 nt
Filed under: Drosophila melanogaster (fruit fly)
Lineage: Eukaryota; Metazoa; Arthropoda; Insecta; Diptera; Drosophilidae
Source: RNAcentral
UGAUCAGUGGAAGUGGCAGUG